This 497-nucleotide ribosomal RNA is filed under the name uncultured bacterium. Its description in RNAcentral is "partial 16S ribosomal RNA". It matches the Rfam family "Bacterial small subunit ribosomal RNA", at positions 28 to 507 of the family's 1533-position model. The record is from RNAcentral.
GAUGAACGCUGGCGGCGUGCCUAAUACAUGCAAGUCGAGCGAACGGACGAGAAGCUUGCUUCUCUGAUGUUAGCGGCGGACGGGUGAGUAACACGUGGAUAACCUACCUAUAAGACUGGGAUAACUUCGGGAAACCGUAGCUAAUACCGGAUAAUAUUUUGAACCGCAUGGUUCAAAAGUGAAAGACGGUCUUGCUGCCACUUAUAGAUGGAUCCGCGCUGCAUUAGCUAGUUGGUAAGGUAACGGCUUACCAAGGCAACGAUGCAUAGCCGACCUGAGAGGGUGAUCGGCCACACUGGAACUGAGACACGGUCCAGACUCCUACGGGAGGCAGCAGUAGGGAAUCUUCCGCAAUGGGCGAAAGCCUGACGGAGCAACGCCGCGUGAGUGAUGAAGGUCUUCGGAUCGUAAAACUCUGUUAUUAGGGAAGAACAUAUGUGUAAGUAACUGUGCACAUCUUGACGGUACCUAAUCAGAAAGCCACGGCUAACUACGCG